GUAGGGACCAAGCGUUGUCCGGAUUCAUUGGGCGUAAAGAGCUCGUAGGCGGCUCAGUAAGUCGGGUGUGAAACCUCCAGGCUCAACCUGGAGACGCCACCCGAUACUGCUGUGGCUAGAGUCCAGUAGGGGAGCGUGGAAUUCCUGGUGUAGCGGUGAAAUGCGCAGAUAUCAGGAGGAACACCAGCGGCGAAGGCGGCGCUCUGGGCUGGAACUGACGCUGAGGAGCGAAAGCGUGGGGAGCGAACAGGAUUAGAUACCCUGGUAGUCCACGCCGUAAACGUUGGGUACUAGGUGUGGGGUCUUAUCAACGGAUUCCGUGCCGAAGCUAACGCAUUAAGUACCCCGCCUGGGGAGUACGGCCGCAAGGCUAAA
This 375-nucleotide ribosomal RNA is filed under the name uncultured bacterium. Its description in RNAcentral is "bacterial SSU rRNA". It matches the Rfam family "Bacterial small subunit ribosomal RNA", at positions 527 to 898 of the family's 1533-position model. The record is from RNAcentral.